UAUUACGAAUAGUUAGUGGAGUUAAUCGAGCUGAAACUGAAACGAAACGGUUAGUAACAACAUAAACAAAUAUAAAAAAAACAAUAUAAACAUUUACUUUAGACAAAAUAAACAUUUGAUAUAAAUAAACAUUUAAUUAAAAUAAACAUUUAAACAAAUAAUUAAUUUAACUAACAUUUAAAUAAAACAUAUAUGCAAAA
RNAcentral lists this long non-coding RNA (200 nucleotides) under Lathyrus oleraceus (garden pea). Its description in RNAcentral is "Pisum sativum (pea) long non-coding RNA (PSAT_LNC040962)". The record is from RNAcentral. Lineage: Eukaryota; Viridiplantae; Streptophyta; Magnoliopsida; Fabales; Fabaceae.